GAUGAACGCUGGCGGCGUGCCUAAUACAUGCAAGUCGAGCGAACGGACGAGAAGCUUGCUUCUCUGAUGUUAGCGGCGGACGGGUGAGUAACACGUGGAUAACCUACCUAUAAGACUGGGAUAACUUCGGGAAACCGGAGCUAAUACCGGAUAAUAUUUUGAACCGCAUGGUUCAAAAGUGAAAGACGGUCUUGCUGUCACUUAUAGAUGGAUCAGCGCUGCAUUAGCUAGUUGGUAAGGUAACGGCUUACCAAGGCAACGAUGCAUAGCCGACCUGAGAGGGUGAUCGGCCACACUGGAACUGAGACACGGUCCAGACUCCUACGGGAGGCAGCAGUAGGGAAUCUUCCGCAAUGGGCGAAAGCCUGACGGAGCAACGCCGCGUGAGUGAUGAAGGUCUUCGGAUCGUAAAACUCUGUUAAUAGGGAAGAACAUAUGUGUAAGUAACUGUGCACAUCUUGACGGUACCUAAUCAGAAAGCCACGGCUAACUACGUG
RNAcentral lists this ribosomal RNA (497 nucleotides) under uncultured bacterium. Its description in RNAcentral is "partial 16S ribosomal RNA". It matches the Rfam family "Bacterial small subunit ribosomal RNA", at positions 28 to 507 of the family's 1533-position model. The record is from RNAcentral.